GUCCACUCAUUAGCCACGAGCAACGUAGAGACACACAACAAUGUAAGUCAUAUUUCAGAUUUUAUAAUAUAAUAAAUGCACUUGAUUUUGACUACAACUGAACAAAAGCAAAUGCAUAUAUUUUGAAAUAAUAUCAAAUUAUCUUAAUUAAAAUAUACUAGAUAUUUUUUUGAACCUCAGAGUAUAUCUUUAUCUGCAUUCAUUGAAAUAUAAUUACAUUUGACCUCUUUUCAACAGAUGAUACAUUCACUGAAUUCACUGACUCUACUAAUGAGCUUAGAUUUAUUAUGCUCGGCGGUGAUGAAGACCUUAUGGAUGAUGCAUGUCACAUCAUUCUUAGAGAAAGAGCUGAAAGAACUGAAAUACGGCACAGAAAAGGUCAUGUGUUUGGCAGAAAGAUCUGUGUGGUGAAAACACCUUCCACCAGCAUGAGUCAUGAGGCAUCACACUGUUGCUUUAAAUCAAGAGAAAAAUCUAUGAAAGAUGAGAUGGUAGAUUGUGCAUCUCUGGUCUUUCCUGGACCUCAUGCAUUUCUAUUAGUGGUCAACAACAGGAAAGUGACUGAGAAGGAGUAUAAUAUUUAAAAAGAAAUUGCCAACGUGUUUGGCGAAGAAGCCUUAGACUAUGCGAUGGCUUUGAUCAUUGGAAGACCUGAACCGAAAGGAAUCAAUAGUGUCAGGAAGCAUGUAAAUAGGUGUUAUACAUUAGAGGACAAUGAGCAAAGUGUUCAGGGUCUAUUCAGAGAAACUGAAAGAAUGACACAAAACAAGAAAUCCACAUUUUUUAUUCAGUCAUCAUAUGAAAAACUCAUGAAAAAGACAUUUUUAUCAUGGGAAAAGGAAAAACAUGCAGAAAUGAGAAAAGAAAACGAGAGACUUCGAAAGGAGAAAGAAGAACAGCACUCCAAAAAAGUGAAUGAAUUAAAAGAAGAGUUCAGAAUUACUGAAAACAAACUAAGAAAAGACAUAGCAGAAAAAGAAGAUCAGCAUGCACAGGACGUGGCUAAAAUAGUAGAAACUGAGUGUAACCAAAAGAGAGACAUAGAGACUUUGAAAUGUUUCAUGAUUGAUCAUUUUAUACACAUAACCAGUCAGCAUGCGGUGCAACCGGUCAUUUCAAGUUCCCAUGAGAAUCCACUGAUUAAAAAAUUAGAGGCAGACGGUGAGAAAAACCCGAGAAAUAUAUUUUCUUCAAUUAUUGAUGAUCUGGUAGAGAAGUUAAAGACUUCUAAAGAGGGUGAGAGAUACUUGAUUGAAACUUUUCUUCAGCGCGAGAAUGAACAGAAAAAUAAAAUUGAAGAACUCCAAGAAGAAGUUGAGCAACUCAAAGCAAAGAAAAGUGAGCUAGAAAAGAAACUGAUGGAAGCAAAUGAAGGAGAAACAUGGGCUAAUAAACAGGUGGAGGUAACACUAGAUAGAAAUCUGCCUACAGAUUUGGACAAACUUCAAGGGGAUCUGGAUAGACAAGACAUACAAGAUGAGCAUAAAGUGAAAUCACAGCAUGUAAUCAGUGGAUCAGGACAUGAGCGACUCAGCAGCAUGGAGUCAACUUCACCUGUCUUAUCUGAAGAAAAUAAAGACAGACCUCUAGAUGAAACAGUGGGAGAAAUAAAGAGCAGAAAGGAAGAUUCACAAGCCAGUGAAUCACACAAUUCUGGAGGCUUCAAACUUGUGCGACGGAAAAGUAUUAACAAGCCACCCGAUAUGACUGGAAGUGAACACGGACCUCUACAUGCUCUCUGAAGAUUGUGAUUACAAAGAGGUAAAUUUAAGGCUUUCACACUUUUCCAGUGAAGUUCAUCUCAUCAAUAUUCAUCAGUCUGCUGUUAUGUCGUCAGGAAAAGACCAAUGAAAACAAUUAUUACACAAAAAGCAAAGUGGCAGAUCCUCUUUGAGUGUGAAACAGCCAACAAAACAAGUAUAACAUUUUGCCAUGAUGGACAAUAUCUUGGAUUAGACUGUGGAUUAUGGGCAACUGAACACCAAAUAAUUUAAAGAUAGUGUCAGUGCAUGAAAAAAGAAAUAAAAUAUACAGGAACCAAAAAAGCA
Cyprinus carpio (common carp) is the source of this 2048-nucleotide long non-coding RNA. The record is from Ensembl. NCBI's taxonomy places the organism in Eukaryota, Metazoa, Chordata, Actinopteri, Cypriniformes, Cyprinidae.